This 468-nucleotide ribosomal RNA is filed under the name uncultured bacterium. Its description in RNAcentral is "partial 16S ribosomal RNA". It matches the Rfam family "Bacterial small subunit ribosomal RNA", at positions 28 to 507 of the family's 1533-position model. The record is from RNAcentral.
GACGAACGCUGGCGGCGUGCUUAACACAUGCAAGUCGAACGGAAAGGCCCUGCUUUUGUGGGGUGCUCGAGUGGCGAACGGGUGAGUAACACGUGAGUAACCUGCCCUUUACUUUGGGAUAACUUCAGGAAACUGGGGCUAAUACCGGAUAGGAGCUCCUGCUGCAUGGUGGGGGUUGGAAAGUUUCGGCGGUUGGGGAUGGACUCGCGGCUUAUCAGCUUGUUGGUGGGGUAGUGGCUUACCAAGGGUUUGACGGGUAGCCGGCCUGAGAGGGUGACCGGCCACAUUGGGACUGAGAUACGGCCCAGACUCCUACGGGAGGCAGCAGUGGGGAAUAUUGCACAAUGGGCGGAAGCCUGAUGCAGCAACGCCGCGUGCGGGAUGACGGCCUUCGGGUUGUAAACCGCUUUCGCCUGUGACGAAGCGUGAGUGACGGUAAUGGGUAAAGAAGCACCGGCUAACUACGUG